Molecule: long non-coding RNA, 139 nt
Organism: Haliotis rubra (blacklip abalone)
Lineage: Eukaryota; Metazoa; Mollusca; Gastropoda; Lepetellida; Haliotidae
Exons: 3
Source: RefSeq, a predicted model, not a curated record
UUGUGAUUUGUAUAAAUCUGUGCUGUUAAGUUUUCUUGUAAACUAAUACCUUCUAACUUAUCUUUGAUAGUUUUUAAGUAAUUCAUAAAGGUAGGAGGAUAACGUUUCUUUUGACGUUUAGUGUCUACGAUCAUCACGG